This 497-nucleotide ribosomal RNA is filed under the name uncultured bacterium. RNAcentral describes it as "partial 16S ribosomal RNA". It matches the Rfam family "Bacterial small subunit ribosomal RNA", at positions 28 to 507 of the family's 1533-position model. The record is from RNAcentral.
GACGAACGCUGGCGGCGUGCCUAAUACAUGCAAGUAGAACGCUGAAGCGAUGAGCUUGUUCUCUUUGGGGGAGUGACGAACGGGUGAGUAACGCGUAGGUAACCUUCCAUGUAGCGGGGGGUAACAAUGGGAAACGAUAUCUAAUACCGCAUAAUAAGACGUGACAGAUGUCAUAUAUUUGAAAGGGGCAAUUGCCGCACGAAAAGAUGGAUGUGCGGUGUAUUAGCUAGUAGGUGAGGUAACGGCUCAGCUAGGCAACGAUACAUAGCCGAGCUGAGAGGGUGGUCGGCCAAACUGGGAAUGAGACACCGCCCCGACUCCCACGGGAGGCAGCAGUAGGGGAACAUCGGACAUGGGGGCAAAGCUGGACGCACCACGACGGGUGAGUGAAGGAGGUUUUCGGAUCGUAAAGCUCUGUUGUAAGUCAAGAAAGAGUAUCAGGGUAGAACGUUCACAUUGUGACGGUAGCUUACCAGAAAGCAACGGCUAACUACGUG